RNAcentral lists this ribosomal RNA (253 nucleotides) under uncultured bacterium. RNAcentral's name for it is "partial 16S ribosomal RNA". It matches the Rfam family "Bacterial small subunit ribosomal RNA", at positions 524 to 776 of the family's 1533-position model. The record is from RNAcentral.
GACGUAGGGUCCAAGCGUUGUCCGGAUUUACUGGGCGUAAAGAGCGCGUAGGCGGUCUGUCGCGUCGGAUGUGAAAAUCCAGGGCUCAACCCUGGACCUGCAUUCGAUACGGGCAGACUAGAGUUCGGCAGGGGAGACUGGAAUUCCUGGUGUAGCGGUGAAAUGCGCAGAUAUCAGGAGGAACACCGGUGGCGAAGGCGGGUCUCUGGGCCGAUACUGACGCUGAGGAGCGAAAGCGUGGGGAGCGAACAGG